GGACUUUUUCCUGGCCAUCAUCCUGCAGGACAGCAGCGCAGAUUCCUUCUGGAACCCCAACGCCUUCGAGACGGAUUCCGACCUGCCGGCUGGAUGGAUGAGGGUCCAGGACACCUCAGGGACCUAUUACUGGCACAUCCCAACAGGGACCACCCAGUGGGAACCCCCCGGCCGGGCCUCCCCCUCACAGGGGAGCAGCCCCCAAGAAGAGUCCCAGCUCACCUGGACAGGUUUUGCUCAUGGAGAAGGCUUUGAGGAUGGAGAAUUUUGGAAGGAUGAACCCAGUGAUGAGGCCCCAAUGGAGCUGGGACUGAAGGAACCUGAGGAGGGGACAUUGACCUUCCCAGCUCAGAGCCUCAGCCCAGAGCCGUUGCCCCAAGAGGAGGAGAAGCUUCCCCCACGGAAUACCAACCCAGGGAUCAAGUGUUUCGCCGUGCGCUCCCUAGGCUGGGUAGAGAUGACCGAGGAGGAGCUGGCCCCUGGACGCAGCAGUGUGGCAGUCAACAAUUGCAUCCGUCAGCUCUCUUACCACAAAAACAACCUGCAUGACCCCAUGUCUGGGGGCUGGGGGGAAGUAAGGACCUGAGCCGGGGGUGGGGGGUGGUACUGUGAGAGUAUGAAGGGAAUUAUGAGAGAUGGGAGGUCUGACCUGCCCACAAGCAGGCUGGGAAAGGGGGAUAUUGGCCCAUCCUAAGUGGCAGCCCUGUGGGAUUGAUGAGUGACCCCAGGCUAGGACCUUGGGAGAUGGUAGCCUAACAACACUGGAGUCAAUGUGAGAGAUGACAUGUGACCUCCACUAGAGUGAGGCCUGCAGGGCGGGUGGUCUGACACCAAAGCAGGGGCCCCAGAGCUGUGGCUAACAUCCCUUGAGCUGCAGCAGUCAGAGAUCAGCCACCAUCCUGGCUGGAGUCCCACUGAGUGCCUGCUUCUGGUCCUGCAGGGAAAGGAUCUGCUACUACAGCUGGAGGACGAGACGCUAAAGCUAGUGGAGCCACAGAGCCAGGCACUGCUGCACGCCCAACCCAUCAUCAGCAUCCGCGUGUGGGGCGUCGGGCGGGACAGUGGAAGGGACUUUGCCUACGUAGCUCGUGAUAAGCUGACCCAGAUGCUCAAGUGCCACGUGUUUCGCUGUGAGGCACCUGCCAAGAACAUCGCCACCAGCCUGCAUGA
RNAcentral lists this small RNA (1170 nucleotides) under Pongo abelii (Sumatran orangutan). RNAcentral's name for it is "retained intron". The record is from RNAcentral. Lineage: Eukaryota; Metazoa; Chordata; Mammalia; Primates; Hominidae.